ACUCCUACGGGAGGCAGCAGUGGGGAAUUUUGGACAAUGGGCGAAAGCCUGAUCCAGCAAUGCCGCGUGAGUGAAGAAGGCCUUCGGGUUGUAAAGCUCUUUUGUCAGGGAAGAAACGGUGAAAGCUAAUAUCUUUUGCUAAUGACGGUACCUGAAGAAUAAGCACCGGCUAACUACGUGCCAGCAGCCGCGGUAAUACGUAGGGUGCAAGCGUUAAUCGGAAUUACUGGGCGUAAAGCGUGCGCAGGCGGUUUUGUAAGUCUGAUGUGAAAUCCCCGGGCUCAACCUGGGAAUUGCAUUGGAGACUGCAAGGCUAGAAUCUGGCAGAGGGGGGUAGAAUUCCACGUGUAGCAGUGAAAUGCGUAGAUAUGUGGAGGAACACCGAUGGCGAAGGCAGCCCCCUGGGUCAAGAUUGACGCUCAUGCACGAAAGCGUGGGGAGCAAACAGGAUUAGAUACCCGGGUAGUCCCAUGA
This 474-nucleotide ribosomal RNA is filed under the name uncultured organism. RNAcentral's name for it is "partial 16S ribosomal RNA". It matches the Rfam family "Bacterial small subunit ribosomal RNA", at positions 335 to 800 of the family's 1533-position model. The record is from RNAcentral.